GAUCAUGGCUCAGGACGAACGCUGGCGGCGCGCCUAACACAUGCAAGUCGAACGAGCGAGAGAGAGCUUGCUUUCUUGAGCGAGUGGCGAACGGGUGAGUAACGCGUGAGGAACCUGCCUCAAAGAGGGGGACAACAGUUGGAAACGACUGCUAAUACUGCAUAAGCCCACAGGUCGGCAUCGACCAGAGGGAAAAGGAGCAAUCCGCUUUAGAGAUGGCCACGCGUCCGAUUAG
Molecule: ribosomal RNA, 235 nt
Filed under: uncultured bacterium
Lineage: Bacteria
Description: partial 16S ribosomal RNA
Rfam family: Bacterial small subunit ribosomal RNA
Source: RNAcentral